This 21-nucleotide unclassified non-coding RNA is filed under the name Dictyostelium discoideum. The record is from RNAcentral. Lineage: Eukaryota; Evosea; Eumycetozoa; Dictyosteliales; Dictyosteliaceae.
CAUCGCUAAAGAAAUCUAUGG